Molecule: ribosomal RNA, 253 nt
Filed under: uncultured bacterium
Lineage: Bacteria
Description: partial 16S ribosomal RNA
Rfam family: Bacterial small subunit ribosomal RNA
Source: RNAcentral
UACGUAGGGUGCGAGCGUUAAUCGGAAUUACUGGGUGUAAAGCGUGCGCAGGCGGUUCGUUGUGUCUGAUGUGAAAGCCCCGGGCUUAACCUGGGAAUGGCAUUGGAAACUGGCGAGCUGGAGUGUGGCAGAGGGGGGUGGAAUUCCGCGUGUAGCAGUGAAAUGCGUAGAUAUGCGGAGGAACACCGAUGGCGAAGGCAAUCCCCUGGGCCUGCACUGACGCUCAUGCACGAAAGCGUGGGGAGCAAACAGG